UGUAGAUCUCUGUACAUGCAGGCAGACCCGUAUUGUCCAGGAGAAGCAACACAUACCUCUGUGAAAUUGCAGCUGUAUGCAGCACACAUCCACUGUGACGAGGUGUUUGGCAUCGUGGGAGAAAAUUUUACUUUUCCAGUAAAAUCAGGCCAAAACAUAACGGAAAUUUUAUGGACAAAAAACAAGAAUAAAGUGGCUGAAUGGGAAGGGCAAAAUGAAACUACAUAUUAUACUUCUCUUAUUGAUAGAGGCUUACUUAACAAGAAGAAUGGGUACUUGACGAUAUAUAACUUGGAGAAUAGUGAUGCUGGCACAUACGAGCUAACCUACUUGGAUUUUGUGAAAGAAAAUUAUGCCUUCACCUUCAUGCUUUCUGUGUUACCUCCCCCUUCAGAACCUGAAAUAACUUGCAACAUCAGUGGUGAUGACUUUGUUUUAAACUGUAUAGCAGAUUUCCCGAAGCCUCUGGAUUACUCUUGGAAGUUAGAUAGCACACUAGUCACUCAUCACACGACGGAAAUUGUCAUCCCUAACAAGAAUGUGGAUGUUUCCAAGAAAGCUGUAUGUUUAAUUAAAUUCUCUCAAACGGAAAGGAGCUCUGAAAUCUCUUUGAGUAAAUGCUUUCCAGAUGAAAAAGGAGACAGCUAUCAGAAAAGAAACAGAGACGCUCUUUGGGGGGCUUCUGUUUUCUUCCUUCUACCUGUAGGAAUAACAAUAUUCCUAUAUAUAAAAGGUAUUCUAUUUGUUUUGGUACAGCUAGAAGUAAACUUGAAAAGGGAAGAGCUUCUCAGAAGAGUCCAGUGCAUCACUCAGGAGAACACACGCCACUUUAUUCUGUGGAGAACCAAGAGCAGUUUCAUCUGGACAGAACUGCAUCUUCACAAGCUGUUGAUCAUGAGAAUGAAGAGCCUGAAGCAGAAGUGACCCAGGAUGCAGAAGGUGGAAAUGGGGAGCACCCUGAGGAACACUCCUAGCUGCAGUGAUGGAGAUCAGAGCAUCUGUGGGGUCACAUCUGUGGGGUCACACAGCUGCUUCUUGGGGUACAUCACCAUGAAGAAAGUGAAAAUUCAGAUCUUAAAUCAUAACCAAAUAACUACCUUGUGGAUCAAAUGACAAUGGAAGACGAGUGCUAGAAUUCAACAGUGAAGGAACUUCUAUCUUUUCUCAUGGAGGUUUUCCAGAAGCACUGAACUCAUCCAUAAAGAAGGGCUUUGAAGAUCGGCUGAGCUGUUCCCAGUGGCUAUUUUUGUUUUCUCAGAAGAAAUAGCCUCCUUUUCUAGUGUUAAUGCAUGAAGAUAAGUAGGCCAAACGACAGACAAAGUCUUUUGUAUUGUAUCAUGUCCAGUUUUAGCAAACGUUGCUCUACUUACAAAAUGCAAGAGCUAAGGCCUUUUUUAUAAUUGAUAUUUAGAGACUAAUAAUCAUGUCCAUUUACAUGAAUGUGGAUACACCAAAAACUCACCAGCUUUCUCUGCAAUUUUGGAUCAGUACCUUUUUACGGUCAGAAGAAAGACAGUUCAUCCUUCAGCAGUUCCAGAGGGAUGGAAGUUUGCAUUUGCUAGUCUUGGUUCUCCAGCAGGAACUCAACGCUCGAGACAAAUAUUUUCCAUGAUAACUAUGUCUUGGAAUUGGUAGAAAACUGGCAAACUGAUCACUUCUAAUGGUGGUUGACUUUGUGAUAAAGCUACACUUCCGUUUGUUGUUGCACUGGAACAAACCCGUUUGUCAAGACUGUACCUUAUCCCCUCCUCCAGAUCACUGAUGGAGAUGUUAAGUGGCACCAAUUCCUGCAUAGACCCUUUUAGUACUCCAGUUGUCUGUCAUCCAUGUAGACUACAACCUGUUAGCCACUACCACCUAAGCCCAAUCAUCCAACUGGUUCUUUACCUAUCUGUAGAACCACACGGAAUGGUUUGGGUUGGAAGGGACCUUUAAAGAUCAUCUAGACCAAUCCCCCUGCUGUGGGCAGGGUCGUCUUUCAUUAGACAUGGUUGCCCAAAGGCCAGUCCAACCUGACCUUGAAUACUCCACAGCUUCUCUGGGAGAUCCUGUUCCGGUGUCUCACCGCCCUUAUCAUACAAAAUGUCAUCUUAUGUCCAACCUAAAUCUACCCUCUUCCAGUUUAAAAGCAUUCCCCCUCGUCCUGUCACUACAUGCCUUGGUAAAAAGUUUUUCUCUGUCUGUCUUAUAGGUCCGCCUUAUGUAUUGAAAGUCUCUAUGAAGGUCUCUAUGAAACCUUGUUUUCUUCAAGCUGAACAACCCAAACUUUCUCAGCCUUUCUUCAUAGGAGAGGUGCUCCAACCUUCUGAUUGUCUUCAUGGCUCUCCUCUGGACCCACUACAACAGGUCCAUGUGUUUCUUGUCCUGGGAACAAUACUCCAAGUGGAGUCUCACAAGAGCAGAGUUGAAGGAGAUAAUCAGCUGCUGGUCACGCUUGUCUUCAUGCAGCCCAGAAUACAAUUGGUUUUCUGGGCUGCAAGUGCACAUUGCUGGCUCAUAUCUUUAAUGUUACAAGGUGCAGGAAAAGCCUUUCCUUUCCUAGCACCAUCCCUACCUGCCUGGGCAGCGCUCCUAAAUUCCUCCAUUGUAGCCUUCCCCUACAUCUAGUAGAAGCAAGUUUUGCACUGAAGCCCUGUCAGGAGCUCCCUGCUUAGCCAAGCUCAUCUCCUGAUUUGCCUGCCUGUUUUCCUGACCAUCAGGAUGGUCUGUGCUCAUGCUUGGAGAAAGUCCUCCUUAAAGGCCUGAUG
This is an RNA transcript of Cuculus canorus (common cuckoo), 2747 nucleotides long. It is a transcript of the gene named CD58 molecule, with no coding region annotated. Lineage: Eukaryota; Metazoa; Chordata; Aves; Cuculiformes; Cuculidae. The record is from RefSeq and is a predicted model, not a curated record. The transcript is spliced from 10 exons.